Molecule: ribosomal RNA, 1435 nt
Filed under: uncultured organism
Description: 16S ribosomal RNA
Rfam family: Bacterial small subunit ribosomal RNA
Source: RNAcentral
ACGCUAGCUACAGGCUUAACACAUGCAAGUCGAGGGGCAUCAGGAAGAAAGCUUGCUUUCUUUGCUGGCGACCGGCGCACGGGUGAGUAACACGUAUCCAACCUGCCCUUUACUCGGGGAUAGCCUUUCGAAAGAAAGAUUAAUACCCGAUAGCAUAAUGAUUCCGCAUGGUUUCAUUAUUAAAGGAUUCCGGUAAAGGAUGGGGAUGCGUUCCAUUAGGUUGUUGGUGAGGUAACGGCCCACCAAGCCUUCGAUGGAUAGGGGUUCUGAGAGGAAGGUCCCCCACAUUGGAACUGAGACACGGUCCAAACUCCUACGGGAGGCAGCAGUGAGGAAUAUUGGUCAAUGGGCGCUAGCCUGAACCAGCCAAGUAGCGUGAAGGAUGAAGGCUCUAUGGGUCGUAAACUUCUUUUAUAUAAGAAUAAAGUGCAGUAUGUAUACUGUUUUGUAUGUAUUAUAUGAAUAAGGAUCGGCUAACUCCGUGCCAGCAGCCGCGGUAAUACGGAGGAUCCGAGCGUUAUCCGGAUUUAUUGGGUUUAAAGGGAGCGUAGGUGGACUGGUAAGUCAGUUGUGAAAGUUUGCGGCUCAACCGUAAAAUUGCAGUUGAUACUGUCAGUCUUGAGUACAGUAGAGGUGGGCGGAAUUCGUGGUGUAGCGGUGAAAUGCUUAGAUAUCACGAAGAACUCCGAUUGCGAAGGCAGCUCACUGGACUGCAACUGACACUGAUGCUCGAAAGUGUGGGUAUCAAACAGGAUUAGAUACCCUGGUAGUCCACACAGUAAACGAUGAAUACUCGCUGUUUGCGAUAUACAGUAAGCGGCCAAGCGAAAGCAUUAAGUAUUCCACCUGGGGAGUACGCCGGCAACGGUGAAACUCAAAGGAAUUGACGGGGGCCCGCACAAGCGGAGGAACAUGUGGUUUAAUUCGAUGAUACGCGAGGAACCUUACCCGGGCUUAAAUUGCAGUGGAAUGAUGUGGAAACAUGUCAGUGAGCAAUCACCGCUGUGAAGGUGCUGCAUGGUUGUCGUCAGCUCGUGCCGUGAGGUGUCGGCUUAAGUGCCAUAACGAGCGCAACCCUUAUCUUUAGUUACUAACAGGUUAUGCUGAGGACUCUAGAGAGACUGCCGUCGUAAGAUGUGAGGAAGGUGGGGAUGACGUCAAAUCAGCACGGCCCUUACGUCCGGGGCUACACACGUGUUACAAUGGGGGGUACAGAAGGCAGCUAGCGGGUGACCGUAUGCUAAUCCCAAAAUCCUCUCUCAGUUCGGAUCGAAGUCUGCAACCCGACUUCGUGAAGCUGGAUUCGCUAGUAAUCGCGCAUCAGCCACGGCGCGGUGAAUACGUUCCCGGGCCUUGUACACACCGCCCGUCAAGCCAUGGGAGCCGGGGGUACCUGAAGUACGUAACCGCAAGGAUCGUCCUAGGGUAAAACUGG